CUCUAGGUCCUUUCUGCUGCCCCGCCCUCCUUCUCAUGAGGGGGUCUCCUCCAAGUGACACUGGAUGGAUGGAUGCUAGGGACCGACCCAUAAGAGCCCAGCACACCCCCCCCCACCCCAACCUCCUCCAACCCCCGCCCCAGCCGCUCAUUCAUUUCUCCAGCCCCCGGUGACCUGGCAGGAGGGCCUUCCAGAGUCCUCUCGUGACUUCUUUCCUGGGAGAGGCUGAGCCGGCGUUGGGCACAGCAGGACGGCUCUCUGCAGCCUCGGUGUGGCGGUGGUGGAGGCGGUUAACCUCUGGGCCACUCUGUCCCCUCCCCUAGGGCGCAGAAAGUGUUUCUCCUUUAAAAGCAUCUCACGUGGGCCUUCGAUGGAGGUCUGCUCCCUGUGUGUGUCCUGGGGACGGGCUGGGGGCAUGGUGACCCAGGCCGUGUGCUGCAGUCACGGCUGAGCCGGGAGGGCGGCAGGACCACAAACACCCCGGGUACUGGGGAAAGACUGUGCACCCGUGGGAUUGUGCACCCAGGUAGACCGAGGGGUGGGAUGGGGAUGGUUAAGGGAAGUGGGAUGGCGGCUGGGGGGUGGGGGUGGGGGAAGGAAGGGGGUCCUGUUCCCGGACUCCGGGGGGGCAGGGGUGCAGAGACAGCGGGCUGGCCCCCAUUCCUCAGCACCCUCCCGAGGUUUAAUUACGCUAUUCACAGCGUUAGAGGCUGCGUAUCCGAGAUGGUUUUUGUCGUCUCGCUGCUAAGUCAUGUCCGACUCUGCGACCCCAUAGACGAUAGCCAGAGUAGUGGCACGGGUGGCCGGCCAUGUCCUCCUCCAGGGGAUCUUCCCGACCCCGGGAUCGAACCUGCGUCUCUUAGGUCUCCUGCAUUAGCAGGUGGCUUCUUUACCACUAGCGCCACCUGAUCGUUUGUGUAUCUAAGCAAUGAAGAGACAGGUUAUGUGUCCGUCAGUCAUAUUUCCACUUCUCGCCUUUUAAUUUUUUUUUUUUUUUAACUGCAAAGAGUCCCAGCAGGACAAGGAGAGUGAGGCGAACAAGGGCCCCAGGGGCCGUCCUCCCUGGCUUCCGCAGACGUUAGCUGCCGUCAGCCUCCAGCUGGGGCCCUCGCUCGGGCGUGUCCCCGGCUCACGGGCCUGGUCGUGGGUGUGGGCCCCCGAGUCCGGCCUGCACCAGGCGCACUGUCCAAGGACUCUUGGGCUGGGUGGGUGGGGUUCGGGUACCCCCCUCCCCGCGGGCCGGUGCUCUGACCCCUCUGGUUAGAAGAGCAAGUUUCCUCUAGGGAACCUGCUGUCUGGAGGGACCGCGCCCCCCACGCGCCCCUGGGGAGCAGAGGGCUGGCUCUGCACGUCACUCAUUCUCGCUGGGGGCCCAGCCCGGCUGCGACCAGGUGCCCUCGGGAGAAGGACCGCACCCCCUGCCUUUCCCCGGGGUCCCCUCUGUCGGUCGCCUCCAGCCCCGGGGCGCCCCAGGCCCCUCUCCAAGUCCCCGCGACCCCCGCCCCCCCAACAAGCACUGCCAGCCCGCGUACCCUUCCCCUCCCGGGUUGGGGGUGCGCAUCUCCUGGGUCCAGGUCGCCCCCUACAGACGCGCGCGGAGACUGCCUGCUUUCCGCCUCCUUUAAUAAUCGUUGUCCCGUGCGGACGCCUCUUCUCCGGGAAUCACCCCCAGGCUCGCGCGGCGACCCUCGGGGCGGGGCGACCCUCAGGGCGGGGCCCGGGUCCCGAGGACCACGUGCAGCAGGUCUCCCGCGCGCGCCGCCCGCACGUCCCGGAAGCCAAGCCCCUGCAGGAGGCGCCGGUACUGCCCGGGGCCCCGGGGGGCCCGCCCCGCCCCGAGGAUCUGCAGCCCGGGGGGCCUCCGCGCCGCCCCGCCAGCCUCCUCCUCCUCCACGGGCGCCAGUUCGGCCAGCAGGAGGCCAGCGCCUGGGGAGACAGACACAGAGAUAACGGGGAAGGGACGCGCAGGCAUCCCAGGACCCAGCCUGCGGGUCCCCCGGGGCUCCCCGGGACUUCCCGGUGGGAAGGUGGGAGGAAUUCUGUCUGCAGGGACAGGGCUGCAGACUCUGCGAUGCCCGGAGGUGCGGUCUGCUCUGUCCCUCAGGCGUGUCCGACUCUGCGUCCCCGUGGACUGUAGCCCGCCGGGCUCCUCUGUCCACAGGGUUCUCCAGGCAGCAAUACUGGAGUGGGUAGGCCUGUCCCUUCUCCAGGGGAUCUUCCCGACCCAUAGAUUAAACCCGGAUCUCCCGCACUGCAGGCAGAUUCUUUACCGUCUGAGCCACCAGGGGGAGCCCAUGAGACGCCAUACGCUUGCUGCGGCUGGAAAGCUCAGAAAUGAAUGAGGGGCAACUGGCAAUCAGCUACGCAGGCGUGUGAAGAAAGGCAAGUGCAUGAAGAAAAGGCAAGUGCAGGGUCUCACCUGCUCUGCAGCCGCGGGAGACCCGGCUCAGGAGCCCGUGGAGUCUGUCGUCAGGCCCGGCGUGCGCGAGGAUGCAGAGAACGUACAGGCGGGCUCUUUACCGCUGAGCCACGAGGGAAGCCCUACCCACCCGAUACAGGAGAUAAAUAAGGUCGCCCAAAGAGUGACCACUGGCAGACAAGGACGCCGCACUGACCUGGCACAAAGUGGACCCGCUCCGACGGCCGUGCGUCGGUCUGAAAGUCCCCGGCAAGCUCGAUGACCUCUGGGAGGUCAAACACGGUCACCUGCAGACGUGGGUACUCCUGGACAAGCUUGUGGGCCAGGGCGCCCGUGCAGCCUGUGGGAAGAAAUGUGGACUCUGGACCAACCUGGCCUGUGUCCAGAAGCUCAGCUCUGGCAGGACCAAGUCAGCGCUCUCGGACAUGACCUCAGCAUGUGCCCUCACAGGAGGUCAGCCAGUGGGGAGAUCUCUGCUGUCUCAAACUCAGGGCCUUGUGGACUGAUGGUGGACCAAGCGCUGGCCCGAGCCAGGUGUGAUGGCUGGUGCCACAGCAGCCACUCUGGGCCACCAGGAGGAAAGCUGUGCAGAAGAUGGGAAAAUGCAAGCUGCCAGCUCAGGAGCCCUCCUAGGACCCCAAUCCCACUACAUCCCUUGGGAAGGCAUCUGCUCCUCCUCCAUCUAAUGUCCUGGGGGAAGGACUGGCUGGGAGGGGAGGAGGGUGUGUGUGUGGGGGGCAUAAUUAGACCUCAUGAGAUGGCAGCAGACAGGUUCCACGGCCCCCUGCUCUGCUUGGCAGCCCCCAGGAAGGGUUCCAUAACCUCUACGAGGGUCUGAGCCAUCCCUGGGACCUCCUAGCACUUGGGAAUGUCAGCCCAAGCCCCACAUCCACCCUGGACACAUUUAGAUCCUUGUGUGGUUUGUAGAGAUAAACCCAUUUUCCAAGUCUUGUUAGUA
Molecule: RNA transcript, 3377 nt
Organism: Cervus elaphus (red deer)
Lineage: Eukaryota; Metazoa; Chordata; Mammalia; Artiodactyla; Cervidae
Exons: 6
Source: RefSeq, a predicted model, not a curated record